Molecule: ribosomal RNA, 424 nt
Filed under: uncultured Planctomycetaceae bacterium
Lineage: Bacteria; Pseudomonadati; Planctomycetota; Planctomycetia; Planctomycetales; Planctomycetaceae
Description: bacterial SSU rRNA
Rfam family: Bacterial small subunit ribosomal RNA
Source: RNAcentral
AGUCGAGAAUCUUCGGCAAUGGGCGCAAGCCUGACCGAGCGACGCCGCGUGCGGGAUGAAGGCCUUCGGGUUGUAAACCGCUGUCGGAGGGGAGGAAAUGCUGUGGGGUUCUCCCCAUGGUUUGACCUAUCUUCAAAGGAAGGACGGGCUAAGUUCGUGCCAGCAGCCGCGGUAAGACGAACCGUCCAAACGUUAUUCGGAAUUACUGGGCUUAAAGGGUGCGUAGGCUGCGCUGUUAGUCAGGUGUGAAAUCCCUCAGCUUAACUGAGGAAUUGCGCUCGAUACUGCAGUGCUGGAGGGAGACAGGGGUAAGCGGAACUGAUGGUGGAGCGGUGAAAUGCGUUGAUAUCAUCAGGAACACCGGUGGCGAAAGCGGCUUACUGGGUCUCUUCUGACGCUGAGGCACGAAAGCUAGGGGAGCGAA